RNAcentral lists this ribosomal RNA (371 nucleotides) under uncultured Nitrososphaerota archaeon. RNAcentral describes it as "bacterial SSU rRNA". It matches the Rfam family "Archaeal small subunit ribosomal RNA", at positions 514 to 888 of the family's 1478-position model. Lineage: Archaea; Thermoproteati; Nitrososphaerota. The record is from RNAcentral.
AGCAUCCGUAGCCGGCUGCUCAAGUUUCCGGUUAAAUCCACACGCUUAACGUAUGGGCUGCCGGAAAUACUGUUCAGCUAGGGAGUGGGAGAGGUAGACGGUACUCGAUAGGAAGGGGUAAAAUCCUUUGAUCUAUUGAUGACCACCUGUGGCGAAGGCGGUCUACCAGAACACGUUCGACGGUGAGGGAUGAAAGCUGGGGGAGCAACCCGGAUUAGAUACCCGGGUAGUCCCAGCUGUAAACGAUGCAGACUCGGUGAUGCAUUGGCUUAUGGCCAGUGCAGUGCCGCAGGGAAGCCGUUAAGUUUGCCGCCUGGGAAGUGCGUACGCAAGUAUGAAACUUAAAGGAAUUGGCGGGGGAGCACAAGCCG